GCUAGGGGGUACGUACGCAAGUAUGAAACGUAAAGGAAUUGGCGGGCGAGCACCACGAGGGGUGAAGCCGGCGGUUCAAUUGGAGUCAACGCCAGAAAUCUUACCCGGAGAGACAGCAGAAUGAAGGUCAAGCUGAAGACUUUCCCAGACAAGCUGAGAGGUGGUGCAUGGCCGUCGCCGGCUCGUGCCGUGGGAUGUCCUGUUAAGUCAGGUAACGAGCGAGAUCCUCGCCACUAGUUGCUAUCAUUAUUCUCAGGAAUAGUGGGGCGAAUUAGUGGGACUGCCGUUGUUAAAACGGAGGAAGGAGGGGGCUACGGCAGGUCAGUAUGCCCCGAAACUCUGGGGCCACACGCGGGCUGCAAUGGUAGCGACAAUGAGUUCCAAACUCGAAAGAGAGUGGCAAUCUCUAAACGCUACCACAGUUAUGACUGAGGGCUGUAACUCGCCCUCACGAAUAUGGAAUCCCUAGUAACCGCGUGUCAUUACCGCGCGGUGAAUACGUCCCUGCUCCUUGCACACACCGCCCGUCGUUUCAUCGAAGUUUGCUUUUAGCGAGGUGAUGUUUAAUUGGCAUUAUCGAACUUGAGGUAAGCGACGAGGGAAAAGUCGUAACAAGGUGACCGUAGGGGAACCUGCGGUCG
This 641-nucleotide ribosomal RNA is filed under the name marine metagenome. RNAcentral's name for it is "bacterial SSU rRNA". It matches the Rfam family "Archaeal small subunit ribosomal RNA", at positions 829 to 1467 of the family's 1478-position model. The record is from RNAcentral.